AGGUUCAGGACGAACGCUGGCGGCGUGCCUAAUACAUGCAAGUCGAACGGCUUUCUAUGGAAGCUUGCUUCCACUGAAAAGAUAGUGGCGAACGGGUGAGUAACACGUGGGUAACCUGCCCAUAAGAGGGGGAUAACAUCCGGAAACGGGUGCUAAUACCGCAUAGUUUUCUUGAUCGCAUGAUCGGGAAAGGAAAGACGGCCUUUGUGCUGUCGCUUAUGGAUGGACCCGCGGCGUAUUAGUUAGUUGGUGAGGUAACGGCUCACCAAGACGAUGAUACGUAGCCGACCUGAGAGGGUGAUCGGCCACAUUGGGACUGAGACACGGCCCAAACUCCUACGGGAGGCAGCAGUAGGGAAUAUUGCACAAUGGGGGAAACCCUGAUGCCAGCAACGCCGCGUGAGUGAUGACGGCCUUCGGGUUGUAAAGCUCUGUCUUCAGGGACGAUAAUGACGGUACCUGAGGAGGAAGCCACGGCUAACUACGUGCCAGCCGCGGC
RNAcentral lists this ribosomal RNA (499 nucleotides) under uncultured bacterium. RNAcentral describes it as "bacterial SSU rRNA". It matches the Rfam family "Bacterial small subunit ribosomal RNA", at positions 20 to 518 of the family's 1533-position model. The record is from RNAcentral.